GAAAUGCGAUAAGUAAUGUGAAUUGCAGAAUUCAGUGAAUCAUCGAAUCUUUGAACACACCUUGCGCUCCUUGGUCUUCCUUGGAGCAUGCCUGUUUGAGUAUCAUGAAAUCUUCAAAGUAAAUCUUUUGUUAACUCAAUUGGUUUCUACUUUGGUAUUGGAGGUCUUUGCAGCUUCACACCUGCUCCUCUUUGUUCAUUAGCUGGAUCUCAGUGUUAUGCUUGGUUCCACUCGGCGUGAUAAGUUAUCUAUCGCUGAGGACACUGUAAAAGGUGGCCAAGGUAAAUGCAGAUGAACCGCUUCUAAUAGUCCAUUGACUUGGACAAUACUUUUAUGAUCUGAUCUCAAAUCAGGUAGGACUACCCGCUGAACUUAAGC
RNAcentral lists this unclassified non-coding RNA (378 nucleotides) under plant metagenome. RNAcentral describes it as "partial contains 5.8S ribosomal RNA, internal transcribed spacer 2, and large subunit ribosomal RNA". The stretch from base 1 to 105 matches the Rfam family "5.8S ribosomal RNA", at positions 50 to 154 of the family's 154-position model. The record is from RNAcentral.